RNAcentral lists this ribosomal RNA (253 nucleotides) under uncultured bacterium. RNAcentral describes it as "partial 16S ribosomal RNA". It matches the Rfam family "Bacterial small subunit ribosomal RNA", at positions 524 to 776 of the family's 1533-position model. The record is from RNAcentral.
GACGGAGGGUGCAAACGUUGUUCGGAAUCACUGGGCUUAAAGGGCGCGUAGGCGGUCCGACAAGUCAGGGGUGAAAUCCUGCAGCUUAACUGCAGAAGUGCCUCUGAUACUGUCGGUCUGGAGGGAGAUAGGGGUGUGCGGAACUUCCAGUGGAGCGGUGAAAUGCGUUGAUAUUGGAAGGAACGCCGGAGGCGAAAGCGGCGCACUGGAUCUCUUCUGACGCUGAGGCGCGAAAGCUAGGGGAGCAAACGGG